RNAcentral lists this ribosomal RNA (301 nucleotides) under uncultured bacterium. RNAcentral's name for it is "partial 16S ribosomal RNA". It matches the Rfam family "Bacterial small subunit ribosomal RNA", at positions 509 to 807 of the family's 1533-position model. The record is from RNAcentral.
CAGCAGCCACGGUAAUACGAAGGGGGCUAGCGUUGUUCGGAAUUACUGGGCGUAAAGCGCACGUAGGCGGAUUUUUAAGUCAGGGGUGAAAUCCCGAGGCUCAACCUCGGAACUGCCUUUGAUACUGGAGAUCUUGAGUUCGGAAGAGGUUGGUGGAACAGCUAGCGUAGAGGUGAAAUUCGUAGAUAUUAGCUAGAACACCAGUGGCGAAGGCGGCCAACUGGUCCGAUACUGACGCUGAGGUGCGAAAGCGUGGGGAGCAAACAGGAUUAGAUACCCCAGUAGUCCCUGUCUCUUAUAC